RNAcentral lists this ribosomal RNA (497 nucleotides) under uncultured bacterium. RNAcentral's name for it is "partial 16S ribosomal RNA". It matches the Rfam family "Bacterial small subunit ribosomal RNA", at positions 28 to 507 of the family's 1533-position model. The record is from RNAcentral.
GAUGAACGCUGGCGGCGUGCCUAAUACAUGCAAGUCGAGCGAACAGACGAGAAGCUUGCUCCUCUUACGUUAGCGGCGGACGGGUGAGUAACACGUGGAUAACCUACCUAUAAGACUGGGAUAACUUCGGGAAACCGGAGCUAAUAACGGAUAAUAUUUUGAACCGCAUUGUUCAAUAGUGAAAGACCGUUUUCCUGUCUCUUAUAGAUGGCUCCGAGCCGCAUUAUCUAGUUGGUAAGGUUACGGCUUACCAAGGCAACGAUGCGUAGCCGAUCUGAGAGGGUGAUCGGCCACACUGGAACGGAGACACGGUCCAGACUCCUACGGGAGGCAGCAGUAGGGAAUCUUCCGCAAUGGGCGAAAGCCUGACGGAGCAACGCCGCGUGAGUGAUGAAGGUCUUCGGAUCGUAAAACUCGGUUAUUAGGGAAGAACAAAUGUGUAAGUAACUAUGCACGUCUUGACGGUACCUAAUCAGAAAGCCACGGCUAACUACGUG